This 203-nucleotide ribosomal RNA is filed under the name uncultured bacterium. RNAcentral describes it as "partial 16S ribosomal RNA". It matches the Rfam family "Bacterial small subunit ribosomal RNA", at positions 1299 to 1500 of the family's 1533-position model. The record is from RNAcentral.
CGGAGUCUGCAACCCGACUCCGUGAAGCUGGAUUCGCUAGUAAUCGCGCAUCAGCCAUGGCGCGGUGAAUACGUUCCCGGGCCUUGUACACACCGCCCGUCACACCAUGAGAGUUUGUAACACCCAAAGCCGGUGGGGUAACCUUUUGGAGCCAGCCGUCUAAGGUGGGACAGAUGAUUGGGGUGAAGUCGUAACAAGGUACC